GUCGGUCUCAUACGGUCUCCUCUACUAUGGUGAAUUGUGGCAAAUAUAGUCAUGAAGGGUGAAUUAUUGCAGCGAUUUUAAUUGAAAAAAAAGUAGUGUAAAGAAUACUAAACAUAGUUUUUUCCCUCACCAGGAGACACUUUCAGGCAAUUGAUUUGGCAUCCAAAAAUGGGAAGGCAAGAAUGGAUUCUGAAAAGACCAGAAAAAUAAUAUGUAGUUGAGCAUUUUUCUACAGAAAUGCUGUCUGGAAGUGGAUUUAAAAAAGAUUCUUUUCAGAUUUAUUCAAAGAUGGCAUUGGUGAGAAAGAGGUGAAUGUAAAUGCUUCAACUUCUGCCUCAACAUCUUCGAUGAAUGAAUGAAUGAAACCAGAAGAAACACAAACAUAUCCUAGUUUAUCUUCAGCCACUCCUAGGUAUAAAAGUUACAAUCAAUGGUGAAGAAUUUGAAACGAAAAUUAGUUGCAACUCCAGAGAUGAAAUCUAUAGAUAAGUGAUGGCAGAUUUUAUGAUCUCCCAAUUGAAGUUUCGAAAACGGAAACUUCAUGGCUAUAGGUAUUCAGUCGCUUUCGAACAAUUGGCCCUAAUAAUAUACUUCUUGGGGCCAAUAAGUGUAACAAUAUCUACAAAAAAGAUUUUUUGCCACACAAGCCAACACUUUGUAGAAUAACCAAAAAUGGGGAUUUCUCUAUUAGUUGAAAUUAACACAUAUUUCUGGCCAUUUCAUUGAAGACAAGGAAUAUGGAGGAAGCAGCAAAGGAUUGCGUUGUGUGUGUUGACGAGAUGUCAAUAAAAGCGCGUUUAUUUUACAAUAACUCAUUGGAUCAAAUUAUUGAAUUUCACCAAUCCAUUAGAUGCAGGUCCUAUGAACCCACAAAUUGUUUGUUGGUUAUCAUGGCAAGGGGUAUCCAACAUAAUUGGAAGCAGCCUGUGGCUUACUUCUUUGUACAUAAUCCUUGUGAAGUCUAAUAUUUGCAUGAGAUAAUAACCACAAGCAUAAGAAAAUUGAGUCACAUAGGAUAGAAUAUUCUGGCAUUAAUAAGUGACCAAAGUACAAAUUUUUCCAAAUUUUCUAAUGAGAUUGGAGUUACAAUUGAUGAGUCAUAUUUCUAUACAGGGUCUUUCACGAGGAACCUCA
Long non-coding RNA from Coccinella septempunctata (seven-spotted ladybird), 1134 nucleotides. RefSeq lists it as uncharacterized. The record is from RefSeq and is a predicted model, not a curated record. The transcript has 3 exons. NCBI's taxonomy places the organism in Eukaryota, Metazoa, Arthropoda, Insecta, Coleoptera, Coccinellidae.